Long non-coding RNA from Corvus hawaiiensis (hawaiian crow), 531 nucleotides. RefSeq lists it as uncharacterized. Lineage: Eukaryota; Metazoa; Chordata; Aves; Passeriformes; Corvidae. The transcript is spliced from 2 exons. The record is from RefSeq and is a predicted model, not a curated record.
UCCACCUGCUAACAGCGAAUUAUCCAUCUUCCUGCAAGGAAGACCCAGGUCAGGCCAGACCCGCCACUGACCACGCAGCCAACGCCAGCUCGGGGUGCCAAGGGCAGGAAAACGAAGGAGAAACACAACACUUUGACAUCAGAACCACAGCAUUCUCCACUUUUGGCAAAGUACGGACAGUUCAGCUCUUCUUCAUGGUCCCACAUGUUUGCUGCUGCAAACUGGAGAUUUAAUGAGGAGGGAAACGCCACUGAUGGUGCUGUCAUUCCCAGCUGCUGAUCUGAAAUCCUAUUAUUCAGCACGGAGCUGUUGCACGCGUGCGUUUGCCGCUGGCCCAACCAUCGGGAGCUGGAGAAUGGAGUCAGCAUUUCUCCUUCACUCCAGAACAGAUGUCAAGCCAACAAUGGAACGUGCAUUCCAAACGUGUUACAAAAUUCAACCUGUCAACCAACUCAAUGCAAUUUAGAGCUAAUUUGUAUCUAAUUCAAAUUUAAGUAAGAUUUUCAAUAAAAAUGGAGGCAUUUGAUUCUA